UUGCACUCCACCUUGGGCAACAGAGUGAGACUUCAUCUAAAAAAAAAAAAAAAAAGAAACAAAAAAAACAACAAAAAACACUUCUUAUAGUGCCUAUACAAUGCAAACAUGUAUCCCAAAAUAAAUGAAACUAUUUGCUAUGUCACUCUUAGGUUUACCCCAAAGCACAUAGACCGUUUUCACUGCUCAAGCUGCUGCCUACAAAACAGGAGAGGCCAAGCCAUGCACAGAAAUUCACCAAAAUGCACAGAUUCACCCAUCAAUAUACAUACUUGCCUCACAACUCACACAAACACCACUGAGCACUGAGACUCACCCUAAAUGUACAGACAAGCCCUUCAGGGCACAGACUUACUCUGUAACAUACUAAAUCACAUCCCCCAUACUUAGAUGCGCCUUAUGAUUCACAGUGAUGCGUGUAAACACAUAACUGCUUCCACAAUGCACAGAAUUGCAUCAUAACACAGACUUACUCUACAGUGCAAAACCGACAGUGCACAUAAACAUUUCCCAGUCGGUAGACACACAACACACAUAUUACUCCUACAAUGUAAAGAUUUCCAUCAUGGUGGACAGACAUGCUUUUCCAUGCUGUUGAGCUACAACUCUGGCCUACAACGACAGAAAUACAGCUUGUGUAAUAGUUACCAGCAAGGCCUCUAGACCCAUACUAACUGGGUUUGAAUCAAGGUCCCAUUCCUUGCUGAUUGUAUCACCUUGGGAGGAGUUGGAAGAUUGAGAGUGGAGUGGAAGAAUGGGAAGAGGGCUUCGUGCCCAGUGCACAUUUGCCACCUAGUGACCAAACUGAAUGGUGUGCGUCUCACCUCAGCCUGGUAGCCUGACCUUGACUCCUGAGUUCCACGAUCGCUUCACAACUGCAAGUCACUAUCAUACAAAAUUUGAGUUUCCCUAAGUCCGCGCCUUUGAGAGCUUUGGAAUGAUAUGCAAGUUCAAGCCACCAUCCUGUUUCUUGCUACCUCCUGUGAGAAGACCAAAUUUGGGUUACUUGUUUCUACUCUUGUUCUUCUGCUUGUUAUUGUUGCCUCUGCAGCCAUUGAUCACACACGUGUUGUCAUACAAAAACUGGUUAGCCUUUUUAUUUGUCUUGUGAAUUUUAUCAUUUGGUUCUUAAGUAUUACAAAUUAAUAAUGCGUACUCCCAUUGAUAUACAACUUUCAGUCAUUGUAAAUAUGCAUGAGUUAGGGUGAGAAUGGCAUGCAAGCAAAAGAACAAGAAGAGGGA
Molecule: long non-coding RNA, 1242 nt
Organism: Nomascus leucogenys (northern white-cheeked gibbon)
Lineage: Eukaryota; Metazoa; Chordata; Mammalia; Primates; Hylobatidae
Exons: 3
Source: RefSeq, a predicted model, not a curated record